GAGUUUGAUCAUGGCUCAGAACGUACGCUGGCGGCACGCCUAACACAUGCAAGUCGAACGAAGUAGUAAUACUUAGUGGCAGACGGGUGAGUAACAUGUAGGUAUCUGCCCUUUGGCCUGGAAUAACACGAGGAAACUUGUGCUAAUACCGGAUAAGUCUUUACGGAGAAAGCUUUAUGCACCAUUGGAUGAGCCUGCACUUGAUUAGUUUGUUGGUGGGGUAAUGGCCUACCAAGACUGUGAUCAAUAGCUGAUUUGAGAGGAUGAUCAGCCACAUUGGGACUGAGACACGGCCCAAACUCCUACGGGAGGCAGCAGUGGGGAAUCUUGCACAAUGGAGGAAACUCUGAUGCAGCGAUGCCGCGUGAGUGAAGAAGGCCUUUGGGUUGUAAAGCUCUUUCGUCGGGGAAGAAAAUGACUGUACCCGAAUAAGAAGGUCCGGCUAACUUCGUGCCAGCAGCCGCGGUAAUACGAAGGGACCUAGCGUAGUUCGGAACUACUGGGCUUAAAGAGUUCGUAGGUGGUUGAAAAAGUUGGUGGUGAAAUCCCAGAGCUUAACUCUGGAACUGCCAUCAAAACUUUUCAGCUAGAGUAUGAUAGAGGAAAGCAGAAUUUCUAGUGUAGAGGUGAAAUUCGUAGAUAUUAGAAAGAAUACCAAUUGCGAAGGCAGCUUUCUGGAUCAUUACUGACACUGAGGGACGAAAGCAUGGGUAGCGAAGAGGAUUAGAUACCCUCGUAGUCCAUGCCGUAAACGAUGUGUGUUAGACGUUGGAAAUUUAUUUUCAGUGUCGCAGCGAAAGCGAUAAACACACCGCCUGGGGAGUACGACCGCAAGGUUAAAACUCAAAUGAGUUGACGGGGACCCGCACAAGUAGUGGAGCAUGUGGUUUAAUUCGAAGAUACGCGCAGAACCUUACCAACACUUGACAUGUUCGUCGCGACUCUAAGAGAUUAGAGUUUUCGGUUCGGCCGGACGAAACACAGGUGCUGCAUGGCUGUCGUCAGCUCGUGUCGUGAGAUGUUGGGUUAAGUCCCGCAACGAGCGCAACCCUCACUUUUAGUUGCCAUCAUUAAGUUGGGCACUCUGAAAGAACUGCCAGUGAUAAGCUGGAGGAAGGUGGGGAUGACGUCAAGUCCUCAUGGCCCUUACGUGUUGGGCUACACACGUGCUACAAUGGUAUCUACAACAGGAAGCAAGACUGCGAAGUUAAGCAAAUCCCUAAAAGAUACCUCAGUUCGGAUUGCACUCUGCAACUCGAGUGCAUGAAGCUGGAAUUACUAGUAAUCGUGGAUCAGCGUGCCACGGUGAAUGCGUUCCCGGGUCUUGUACACACCGCCCGUCACACCAUGGGAGUCGGUUCUACCUUAAGGCAAGGUUUUAAACCCUUGACCACGGUAUAGUCAGCGACUGGGGUGAAGUCGUAACAAGGUAACC
Molecule: ribosomal RNA, 1435 nt
Filed under: uncultured marine bacterium
Lineage: Bacteria
Description: bacterial SSU rRNA
Rfam family: Bacterial small subunit ribosomal RNA
Source: RNAcentral